This 245-nucleotide ribosomal RNA is filed under the name uncultured archaeon. RNAcentral's name for it is "partial 16S ribosomal RNA". It matches the Rfam family "Archaeal small subunit ribosomal RNA", at positions 474 to 718 of the family's 1478-position model. The record is from RNAcentral.
UACCCGCGGUCCAAGUCGCAGCCAUCUUUAUUGGGUAUAAAACAUCCGUAGCUUGCUUAAUAAGUUCCUUGUGAAAUCCUAAAUCUUAAGUUUAGGGCGGGCAAGGAGUACUGUUGAGCUAGAGACCGGAAGACGCAAGAGGUAUGUUCAAAGUAGUGGUGAAAUACUUUAAUCUUGGACAGACCCACAAUAGCGAAGGCAUCUUGCGAGGACGGUUCUGACAGUAAGGGAUGAAGGCUAGGGGC